GAUGAAGAACGUAGCGAAAUGCGAUAAGUAAUGUGAAUUGCAGAAUUCAGUGAAUCAUCGAAUCUUUGAACGCACAUUGCGCCCCUUGGUAUUCCGAGGGGCAUGCCCGUUCGAGCGUCAUUAUAACCCCUCAAGCUCAGCUUGGUGUUGGGGCCUGCUGCACUGGCAGCCCUUAAAAUCAGUGGCGGCGCCAUCUGGCUCUAAGCGUAGUAAUUCUUCUCGCUAUGGAGUCCUGGUGGAUGCUUGCCAUCAACCCCCAAUUUUUCUAUGGUUGACCUCGGAUCAGGUAGGGAUACCCGCUGAACUUAAGCAUAUCAAUAAGCGGAGGA
This 329-nucleotide unclassified non-coding RNA is filed under the name soil metagenome. RNAcentral describes it as "partial contains 5.8S ribosomal RNA, internal transcribed spacer 2, and large subunit ribosomal RNA". The stretch from base 1 to 120 matches the Rfam family "5.8S ribosomal RNA", at positions 35 to 154 of the family's 154-position model. The record is from RNAcentral.